This 301-nucleotide ribosomal RNA is filed under the name uncultured bacterium. RNAcentral describes it as "partial 16S ribosomal RNA". It matches the Rfam family "Bacterial small subunit ribosomal RNA", at positions 509 to 807 of the family's 1533-position model. The record is from RNAcentral.
CAGUAGCCGCGGGAAUACAGAGGGUGCAAGCGUUAAUCGGAAUUACUGGGCGUAAAGCGCGCGUAGGUGGUUCGCCAAGUUGGAUGUGAAAUCCCCGGGCUCAACCUGGGAACUGCAUCCAAAACUGGCGAGCUAGAGUAUGGUAGAGGGUGGUGGAAUUUCCUGUGUAGCGGUGAAAUGCGUAGAUAUAGGAAGGAACAUCAGUGGCGAAGGCGACCACCUGGACUGAUACUGACACUGAGGUGCGAAAGCGUGGGGAGCAAACAGGAUUAGAGACCCCAGUAGUCCCUGUCUCUUAUAC